Molecule: ribosomal RNA, 301 nt
Filed under: uncultured bacterium
Lineage: Bacteria
Description: partial 16S ribosomal RNA
Rfam family: Bacterial small subunit ribosomal RNA
Source: RNAcentral
CAGUCGCCGCGGGAAAACGAGGGGGGCAAGCGUUGUUCGGAAUUACUGGGCGUAAAGCGCACGUAGGCGGCUUUGUAAGUCAGAGGUGAAAGCCUGGAGCUCAACUCCAGAACUGCCUUUGAGACUGCAUCGCUCGAAUCCGGGAGAGGUGAGUGGAAUUCCGAGUGUAGAGGUGAAAUUCGUAGAUAUUUGGAAGAACACCAGUGGCGAAGGCGGCUCACUGGACCGGUAUUGACGCUGAGGUGCGAAAGCGUGGGGAGCAAACAGGAUUAGAUACCCGAGUAGUCCCUGUCUCUUAUAC